Molecule: non-coding RNA, 83 nt
Filed under: bovine gut metagenome
Description: S10-Clostridia ribosomal protein leader
Rfam family: S10-Clostridia ribosomal protein leader
Source: RNAcentral
UGAUAGCGUAGAAGCGUGAGGUUGCUGCGGGCUUCCGCAGGUUUUCCGUGGAGCGAAUGUCAAGUUAUAAAAACUGGCGACAA